RNAcentral lists this non-coding RNA (30 nucleotides) under Rattus norvegicus (Norway rat). The record is from RNAcentral. Lineage: Eukaryota; Metazoa; Chordata; Mammalia; Rodentia; Muridae.
UGAGAGCCCAUUGUUCCUCCUCCAGGUAGG